CAUUUUUCUUCUCUCUCACCUCUUUCUCAGCGGAAUUCCUCACCUCUCUCUCUGAUUUUUUUUCUUUGUAAGUUUUCAUGGAGAUCGAGUCUGCUCAUUGACUUCCUUUCUCAUCUCUUUCCUUAUUCCUUCUCAACCUGCCUCCAUCGUCUUCUUCUACAAAGUCUCCAGAUCCAGAAGGUGGAGUACAAGUCAAUACCUUAAAAAGAAAAUUGACUUCAAUGGUAGAUUGUACUUUCAAUUGUAAAAUCCUUCUCGCUACCAACUGGGGUGCGGAUUACUUCAACUGGUUCCUAUUCUGAUUCCUGAUGAUGAUGGUGCGGUAGUUGUGAUGAAGUAGAAGACGGUCAGUUUGCUAAGAAGACUUCUCGUUACACUGUUGUUUGUUUUGUGAGGUCAGGGAUUUUCUGAUAUCAUGAGUUGAUGUUGUUUCUGUUCGGGUGGUGAUUUUGAGGAAUUGGUAUGGAUCGUCUUCAGUGGAUGAACCAAUUUUCUUACUACAAGAGCAUAAUGGACCUGCUUAAUUAUGAUGUCAAAUUCUUUGGUGAUGGAGAUGAUUCUAUACAGUUGAGCAGGGUGACCGACUAUUUCGCAAGCCAUUCACUCAUUAGGAAGGAAAUUCGUACCUCGACUAGCUCAAUGAGUUUUGUUGCAAAACCACUUAAGUUUCUCCACCCACAUUAUGGAACAUUAGAUACUUUCUAACAGUGGAAGAUUCAGAGUUGAAGAAAUGCCUAGCCGACACACUUUUCGUUUUGGAAGAUUCAGAGUUCAAGAAAUACCUAACCGACACACUUUCCGUUUUGGCAUUAACAACGUCUGUCGAAGUAAAAGGGGUAGGUGAAAGCUUCACAGUUUACUCUUUGUUUUUGCAGUCACAGUUUGAAGUUUAAUAAGGGAUAACCUUGAAUUGUAAUUAUAACAAUAGAUGAAGUUAUAGGGCAUGUUUUUCAUUUAAGGGUCAUUCUAAUCUGGCUACUGGCAUAGUUUUCUACUAAAAUACCUGAUUAAAUAACUCGAACAAUUGAACUGGUUUGUGUUUGUUCAUUUUGCAUGUUUUGCAUCUGCUGGAGAAACUAAAUAAUUUGUUCUCCGGUUGGGUGAGAUUAGUUAGGAGCUGGGCAGAUGUACAACGAGCCUAAAGGCUUUAUCUCUUAUGGUUCUGGGAAGUUACCCUUUCAUAGCUAAGCUAUCUGGACCCAACUUUUCCUUGUGAAUAAAUAUUGCAUCUCUUCUGAAGACUUUUUUUAAUCGACUUCUAUUUUCACUGGGUUUGUCAUCCUACAAAACACCACAUUAAUUAUGGGUGUUGUUUCAUCUCUUUCAAACUUUGGAGAAGAUUGGCAAUGCGGAACUUGAAGUUUGAUCUUCUAAGUAGAUUUGAUUUUUUUAGUUCCUCAUUUGGUAUUUGCUGGUGUGAUUGCUGGUGCAUGAUGAUGUGAUUCUUCUUGGUUUCCGUAUUACUAUGAAUGGAUUAGCUUGCUUAUAUAACUAUAGUUGCUCCCUACUUUUCUCAUGUUUAGGUACUCUUACAGUGUCAUAUGCCAUUUUUUGAACUUGUCGGGCAGUUAAUCAUUUUUGCUUGUUUGAACUUAUCUUUUAGGUUUUAAACUCGGGUCUGCGAAACAUAUAGCAGAAGCAAUAGUGAAGAAGGACGGUGUCGUAAGGUUGACUUCUGUAGUUGAAGGGCUAGUUGUGUUGAAAACAACCCAGAUAAGUCAUGCGCCAUGCUCAGGGGUGUGUUAUACUUGACAGACACGGGGCUCACAUCAAAGGAAAGGGUUACUUGUUGAAGACGGAUUCGAUUAUAUGAAAGUGCC
Papaver somniferum (opium poppy) is the source of this 1820-nucleotide long non-coding RNA. RefSeq lists it as uncharacterized. The transcript is spliced from 13 exons. The record is from RefSeq and is a predicted model, not a curated record. Lineage: Eukaryota; Viridiplantae; Streptophyta; Magnoliopsida; Ranunculales; Papaveraceae.